Molecule: ribosomal RNA, 253 nt
Filed under: uncultured bacterium
Lineage: Bacteria
Description: partial 16S ribosomal RNA
Rfam family: Bacterial small subunit ribosomal RNA
Source: RNAcentral
UACGGAGGGUGCGAGCGUUAAUCGGAAUUACUGGGCGUAAAGCGUGCGUAGGCGGUUAUUUAAGUCAGAUGUGAAAGCCCUGGGCUUAACCUGGGAACGGCAUUUGAAACUGGGUAGCUAGAGUUAGGUAGAGGGGAGUGGAAUUUCAGGUGUAGCGGUGAAAUGCGUAGAUAUCUGAAGGAACACCAGUGGCGAAGGCGGCUCCCUGGACCCAAACUGACGCUGAGGUACGAAAGCGUGGGUAGCAAACAGG